GCCGGGGUAACUCAGCCUGGUAGAGUGCGGGGCUCAUAACCCCGUUGUCCCGGGUUCAAAUCCCGGCCCCGGCA
RNAcentral lists this transfer RNA (74 nucleotides) under Nitrososphaeria archaeon. RNAcentral describes it as "tRNA-Met". It matches the Rfam family "tRNA". Rfam says of the family: Transfer RNA (tRNA) molecules are approximately 80 nucleotides in length. Their secondary structure includes four short double-helical elements and three loops (D, anti-codon, and T loops). RNAcentral also lists the same sequence under 1 other name. Lineage: Archaea; Thermoproteati; Nitrososphaerota; Nitrososphaeria. The record is from RNAcentral.